Molecule: ribosomal RNA, 429 nt
Filed under: Bacteroidota bacterium
Lineage: Bacteria; Pseudomonadati; Bacteroidota
Description: Bacteroidetes bacterium partial 16S ribosomal RNA
Rfam family: Bacterial small subunit ribosomal RNA
Source: RNAcentral
UAGGGAAUCUUCCGCAAUGGGCGAAAGCCUGACGGAGCAACGCCGCGUGAGUGAUGAAGGUCUUCGGAUCGUAAAACUCUGUUAUUAGGGAAGAAUAAAUGUGUAAGUAACUAUGCACGUCUUGACGGUACCUAAUCAGAAAGCCACGGCUAACUACGUGCCAGCAGCCGCGGUAAUACGUAGGUGGCAAGCGUUAUCCGGAAUUAUUGGGCGUAAAGCGCGCGUAGGCGGUUUUUUAAGUCUGAUGUUAAAGCCCACGGCUCAACCGUGGAGGGUCAUUGGAAACUGGAAAACUUGAGUGCAGAAGAGGAAAGUGGAAUUCCAUGUGUAGCGGUGAAAUGCGCAGAGAUAUGGAGGAACACCAGUGGCGAAGGCGACUUUCUGGUCUGUAACUGACGCUGAUGUGCGAAAGCGUGGGGAUCAAACAGG